GUAGGUGGCAAGCGUUGUCCGGAAUUAUUGGGCGUAAAGCGCGCGCAGGCGGUCCUUUAAGUCUGAUGUGAAAGCCCACGGCUCAACCGUGGAGGGUCAUUGGAAACUGGGGGACUUGAGUACAGAAGAGGAAAGCGGAAUUCCAAGUGUAGCGGUGAAAUGCGUAGAGAUUUGGAGGAACACCAGUGGCGAAGGCGGCUUUCUGGUCUGUAACUGACGCUGAGGCGCGAAAGCGUGGGGAGCAAACAGGGAUUAGAUACCCUGGUAGUCCACGCCGUAAACGAUGAGUGCUAAGUGUUAGGGGGUUUCCCGCCCCCUUAGUGCUGCCAGCUAACGCAUUAAGCACUCCGCCUGGGGAGUACGGCCGCAAGGCUG
This 375-nucleotide ribosomal RNA is filed under the name uncultured organism. Its description in RNAcentral is "partial 16S ribosomal RNA". It matches the Rfam family "Bacterial small subunit ribosomal RNA", at positions 527 to 896 of the family's 1533-position model. The record is from RNAcentral.